GACGAACGCUGGCGGCGUGCUUAACACAUGCAAGUCGAACGGAAAGGCCUGCUUUCCCUUGUGGAUUGCGGGUACUCGAGUGGCGAACGGGUGAGUAACACGUGAGUGAUCUGCCCCCAACUUGGGUAUAAGCCUGGGAAACUGGGUCUAAUUCCCGAUAGGACUGCAGGGUGGUGCCUGUGGUGGAAAACGAUUUUCUAGUGGUUGGGGAUGAGCUCGCGGCCUAUCAGCUUGUUGGUGGGGUAAUGGCCUACCAAGGCGGCGACGGGUAGCCGGCCUGAGAGGGUGGACGGCCACAUUGGGAUUGAGAUACGGCCCAGACUCCUACGGGAGGCAGCAGUGGGGAAUAUUGCACAAUGGGCGGAAGCCUGAUGCAGCGACGCCGCGUGGGGGAUGACGGCCUUCGGGUUGUAAACUCCUUUCGACCGCGAGGAAGCCACCUGGCUGGAAGGGUGGUGACGGUAGUGGUAGAAGAAGCACCGGCUAACUACGUG
RNAcentral lists this ribosomal RNA (494 nucleotides) under uncultured bacterium. RNAcentral's name for it is "partial 16S ribosomal RNA". It matches the Rfam family "Bacterial small subunit ribosomal RNA", at positions 28 to 507 of the family's 1533-position model. The record is from RNAcentral.